This 274-nucleotide long non-coding RNA is filed under the name Elaeis guineensis (African oil palm). Its description in RNAcentral is "long non-coding RNA (EGUI_LNC063577)". The record is from RNAcentral. Lineage: Eukaryota; Viridiplantae; Streptophyta; Magnoliopsida; Arecales; Arecaceae.
GACCUUGUGUGGCGUCUUUCUGAACUCCCUCGACCGUCCGAGCUUCCAUAAUACCAUCCGAACUUCUCUGAUAAUGAGCUCCUCCAUUCAUAUACUGGACUGCUUCAAAUAAUUUUUGAGCCUCACUAUCAGCCGAUUUUCUACAGUAACCAGACUCUAUCCAAGUUUCUAUGGCGGUCGAUCGCUUUUCGGAUUUCAUCCGAGCUCCUACGAGAGCCGGAUCCCAGCUGAACUUCUACAACGGAUGGAUUCCAGAUGAAUUCCUACAAAAGCU